This 1372-nucleotide ribosomal RNA is filed under the name uncultured bacterium. Its description in RNAcentral is "bacterial SSU rRNA". It matches the Rfam family "Bacterial small subunit ribosomal RNA", at positions 28 to 1381 of the family's 1533-position model. The record is from RNAcentral.
GAUGAACGCUGGCGGCGUGCCUAAUACGUGCAAGUCGAGCGAACGGACGAGAGGCUUGCUUCUCUGAUGUUAGCGGCGGACGGGUGAGUAACACGUGGAUAACCUACCUAUAAGACUGGGAUAACUUCGGGAAACCGGAGCUAAUACCGGAUAAUAUUUUGAACCGCAUGGUUCAAAAGUGAAAGACGGUCUUGCUGUCACUUAUAGAUGGAUCCGCGCUGCAUUAGCUAGUUGGUAGGGUAACGGCUUACCAAGGCAACGAUGCAUAGCCGACCUGAGAGGGUGAUCGGCCACACUGGAACUGAGACACGGUCCAGACUCCUACGGGAGGCAGCAGUAGGGAAUCUUCCGCAAUGGGCGAAAGCCUGACGGAGCAACGCCGCGUGAGUGAUGAAGGUCUUCGGAUCGUAAAACUCUGUUAUUAGGGAAGAACAUAUGUGUAAGUAACUGUGCACAUCUUGACGGUACCUAAUCAGAAAGCCACGGCUAACUACGUGCCAGCAGCCGCGGUAAUACGUAGGUGGCAAGCGUUAUCCGGAAUUAUUGGGCGUAAAGCGCGCGUAGGCGGUUUUUUAAGUCUGAUGUGAAAGCCCACGGCUCAACCGUGGAGGGUCAUUGGAAACUGGAAAACUUGGGUGCAGAAGAGGAAAGUGGAAUUCCAUGUGUAGCGGUGAAAUGCGCAGAGAUAUGGAGGAACACCAGUGGCGAAGGCGACUUUCUGGUCUGUAACUGACGCUGAUGUGCGAAAGCGUGGGGAUCAAACAGGAUUAGAUACCCUGGUAGUCCACGCCGUAAACGAUGAGUGCUAAGUGUUAGGGGGUUUCCGCCCCUUAGUGCUGCAGCUAACGCAUUAAGCACUCCGCCUGGGGAGUACGACCGCAAGGUUGAAACUCAAAGGAAUUGACGGGGACCCGCACAAGCGGUGGAGCAUGUGGUUUAAUUCGAAGCAACGCGAAGAACCUUACCAAAUCUUGACAUCCUUUGACAACUCUAGAGAUAGAGCUUUCCCCUUCGGGGGACAAAGUGACAGGUGGUGCAUGGUUGUCGUCAGCUCGUGUCGUGAGAUGUUGGGUUAAGUCCCGCAACGAGCGCAACCCUUAAGCUUAGUUGCCAUCAUUAAGUUGGGCACUCUAAGUUGACUGCCGGUGACAAACCGGAGGAAGGUGGGGAUGACGUCAAAUCAUCAUGCCCCUUAUGAUUUGGGCUACACACGUGCUACAAUGGACAAUACAAAGGGCAGCGAAACCGCGAGGUCAGGCAAAUCCCAUAAAGUUGUUCUCAGUUCGGAUUGUAGUCUGCAACUCGACUACAUGAAGCUGGAAUCGCUAGUAAUCGUAGAUCAGCAUGCUACGGUGAAUACGUUCCCGGGUCU